This 239-nucleotide long non-coding RNA is filed under the name Mytilus galloprovincialis (Mediterranean mussel). The record is from RNAcentral. Lineage: Eukaryota; Metazoa; Mollusca; Bivalvia; Mytilida; Mytilidae.
UGUUUUUAAGCAAUAAUUCAAUUUUGAAUGUAACGCGUCUUCUGAUUGGCUGACGUUAUUUUGUUAUGAGCCCAUAAACAUAAUUUAGUCAUGUGACCGUGACGUCAUCAACGUUUUUUCAUGGUUUUCUACGGUUUAAAAUGGAAUUAAGAAUUAAAUUAUAAGAAAUGACUGUAAUAUUUUUUCUGUCUAUUCGAAAUAACAUAAAAAAUGUGGUGCACACUGUUAAAUAACCCGCU